CCUACGGGAGGCAGCAGUGGGGAAUAUUGCACAAUGGGGGAAACCCUGAUGCAGCCACGCCGCGUGAAUGAAGAAGUAAUUCGUUGUGUAAAGCUCUUUCUGUAGGGAAGAAAAUGACGGUAACUGAGUAGCAAGCCACGUCUAACUACGUGACAGCAGCCGCGGUAAUACGUAGGGGGCAAGCGUUAUUCGGAUUUACUGGGGUUAAAGGGUGCGUAGUCGGGAGUGCAAGUCAGGAGUGAAAGGCGGGGGCUCAACCGCAGGACUGCGGUGGAAACUGUAAGGCUGGAGUUCAGGAGAGGUAGGUGGAAUGCGUGGUGUAGCGGUGAAAUGCGUAGAUAUUAGGAGGAACACCAGUGGCGAAGGCGGCUUACUGGACUGUAACUGACGUUGAGGCUCGAAAGUGUGGGUAGCAAACAGGAUUAGAUACCCGAGUAGUC
RNAcentral lists this ribosomal RNA (440 nucleotides) under uncultured bacterium. RNAcentral's name for it is "partial 16S ribosomal RNA". It matches the Rfam family "Bacterial small subunit ribosomal RNA", at positions 338 to 795 of the family's 1533-position model. The record is from RNAcentral.